GUGCUCGUUUUGGCAGCACAUAUACUAAAAUUGGAAAGA
RNAcentral lists this small nuclear RNA (39 nucleotides) under Cervus elaphus hippelaphus. Lineage: Eukaryota; Metazoa; Chordata; Mammalia; Artiodactyla; Cervidae. The record is from RNAcentral.